Bombina bombina (fire-bellied toad) is the source of this 2449-nucleotide RNA transcript. It is a transcript of the gene named RING finger protein 39-like, with no coding region annotated. NCBI's taxonomy places the organism in Eukaryota, Metazoa, Chordata, Amphibia, Anura, Bombinatoridae. The transcript is spliced from 3 exons. The record is from RefSeq and is a predicted model, not a curated record.
UAAAAACUACAGUAAAUGUCAAUUUGUAUACGAUAUGACAAUGCUUUGAAUUUCCGUUAACCCCUUGUUGGACUCCAGCUAUAUUUAGUAUGUUCAAACAACCACACCCACCCCUUUUCGAAUUUUUAUAACUUGUAGUUUGGCGCAUUGCCUGCAAAUGUCAUACACAACCUGAGGGCCCGUCCCACUGUAAGUCAUCACCUCAAACCUGCCAAACAACAUAUUUCCCGCCCUGCCGCAGAUACAUUGCAGAACUUCCAGAGCCAGCAGCGAGGACCCUUUAAAUAUGGCAUCUGGGGGCCCUGUACGAGAACUGCAGGAAGACUCUGUUUGCCCACUGUGUGGAUGUUACUUUGAAGACCCUGUGACUACGGAAUGUGGACACAGUUACUGUAGGGGCUGUUUAGUUGCCCAAACAGAAGGUAAAGGAACCCUGAGCGGGCAGGUAAUUUGUCCCAGGUGUGGAAGGUCCAUGGGCUGGAGAGGUGUGACCACAGAUGUCCGGCUUGGGGUAACCACAAGAAUUGCCCGGAGGCUUAACAUUCAAGCUCCAGCACCUAGAAGAAGGAAAGAUGGAAGAGAGGACACUCGUUGAUGCAGAGCAUUGCGCUAUCUUUUCUGAAAGACAGAAGAUAUCUGCUGGAGAGCUCGGCUAUAUUAUUAGCCAAAACCUGCCAGAUAAUGGUCCCCACAACACAACUUCCUUGUUAAUCCCUCUUUUUCUUAAUGAGGCCAUGCAGAGGACUGGAGUUUCCAUUAUAAUUCUCUGCUGAGAAAAACUAUGCAGAGCAUCGCACCCUGCAAUAAACUCUAUUCUGGCCCUGAGUUUCUUCCCUUAGAGACUAUGCAGAACAUUCUCAUUAUCUCCUUUUUACAGAUAUUACUAAACACAUUCAGGGUUAUGUGACCUGCUUUCUGCUGGCAGUAUUAAUAUGUAUAUAUUCAUGUAUAUAUUUUUUUUCAUUAAUUCUUUGAUAAAGAGCUGUAUAUUCUCUUUUUAUACUAACUUAUAUGUGUGUAUAUAUAUAUGCUUAUAUCUUAUGAUAAUCAUAUGUACUGAUACUGAGUAUCUAUACUCUAGUAAUAAAGCGUAUUUAUAAUAUGUUGUCCUGUCUGUGUGUAUUGAUUAAAAUGUUCUAUCUGAAUAUUUGCUAUGUAGAAUAAUUCCUAUUCUUUGUUAGAAAAGGAUCUAUAAAAGCUAACAUUACCCAUAGUUUACCAUUAUCCCAGAUAUUGCAGGACUGUCAGGGAUAAGAAGCAUGUUGCAGGGAUGGAGUUUCCGAACUCUGCAAAGUACACUCUAGUUUCUCUUAGGGCAGUGAAAAAAAUACAUUUUCAGAGGUAAAGGAACAGUGUACUGCAAUUAUUCUCCCCUUAACAUGUUUCCAAUGACUUGUAAAACCAGUCACAGAGUAAAAAAUAUAUGAGAAUUUAUUUAUUUUUGUAUAUGAAAUAGCUGAUUUUGUUAGUUGAAACCACAACCCAUUAAAAUAGGUUGAGCUUGCAUGGAAAUCAGAUCUCCUUAUUUGAUCACUUCCUGUACAUACACACGCUUCUUUAUAUUAUAUCUGAAAGUUCCUUUAUUUGUUUGAAGCAUUGGCCGCGCUGAGCACCACAGGCAACACAUGGCAGAACAAUAUUAUGCUGAGUGGUGUCGUUUCCGCCUCUUAGCCAACAGCCGUGCGGGCUAUCUGGCUUGGCGCCAUCUGGCCCACAUGGCUAUUUGCUAAGAGGUGGAAACAUCACCUCACAGCAAAAUAGCUUUCUGCCAUGGGCUGCCUGAGGAGCUCAGUGCAGCGAACGCUUCCAAUAAAUAAAGGAACUUUCAGCAUGAAGUAUUUUAUACUUCAUGACUGAAAGUCCCCUUUAUUUGGUUUAAUGGUAAAUCCUAGCGUUUCGAAAAUGCUAGGAUUUAUCAUCACUAUAACUGUUGCUCUUUAUUAUACAUGACAGAAAAAAAUGUGUACAAUGUGAUGUUAAGAUAUAAAAAAUGAUGACAUAUUCUAAAUAUAAAUCUGCUGCCCUUUUAAGUACAAAGUCUCUUGCAAAACAUGUUUUAAUAAUCUCUCACACCAUUUCAGAUAAUUAUGCAUUGCUGGUAAUUUAUCCUUUUGAAGAGAGUUCACAUAAAGUGCAAUAUGUAAUUUUCUUUUGUCCCAUUUUUGGGUGUAUGCUGCAAAUGCUGUAUUGUUUGUGUAUAGAAGAGAUAUUUUUAAACCUGUAUACAGGUGUACCUAAGAGAAAUUGCGGGUUUGGUUCUAGACCACCGCAAUAAAGCGAAUAUAACAAUAAAGUGAGUCACACAUAUUUUUUUGUUUCCCAGUGCAUAUAAAAGUUAAAUUUAUACUAUACUGUACUCUAUUAAGUGUGUAAUAGCAUUAUGUCUAAACAAUGUAUAUACCGUAAUUAAAAAAUACUUUAUUGCUAAAAAAUGCUAACCAUCAUCUGA